Molecule: long non-coding RNA, 1060 nt
Filed under: Homo sapiens (human)
Lineage: Eukaryota; Metazoa; Chordata; Mammalia; Primates; Hominidae
Description: POT1 antisense RNA 1
Source: RNAcentral
GCGGUGGACCAGCUGCGUAACGGUUCACACACUGAUGGCGCCUGGAGGUUUGGCGAAAUACUGACAGGAUGCGACGUCAACGGGAGCGCAGGGCCAAGAUACCCUUUAUAUCAAACCGUCUAUCCUGGAGCAGAAAAAUCCUGUCUUCAUUGCUAUAGCUACAGAUUCAGAAAUGAGCAUGUAACAAAUUCAGGCCAAAGAGAGGCAAUGGAAAUCAGAGAAACACUGUUCCUGAAAGCUUCUGUCACUCAAGAAUCCAUGAAACAUUCAUGAACUUCACAUCAGAAAUAAAAUCCAGUGAGAUUCAACAAAUUGUCAAGUUACACACUUCUGAAUGACAGAUUUGGGACCAGAAGCUAGACCUCAGAAUCCUCUGUUUCCUCGGGGUGCUCAGCAGCUUGGAGUCCUGCAACAGAUUCUUCUUUUCCUGAAUAAGUCAUUUUCAGAGUCAUCUGGAUUUUUAGAAUCAGAUGAAUCCUCACAUUAUCAUAAUCAUCAUCUUCAUCAUCAUCAUCAUCUUCAUCAUGGUCAGCAGCAGCAGCCUCUCCAGCUACAUCACCUUCUUCAUCAUGAUGUACUUCACUAAAGCCAAGUUCACAGUGUCAUCUGUCCCUUCCUGAAAAUUGACUAUUGACACCUGGCUGAUAUUGAAACUCCAGUUCCUCAUCAAUUUUCUUGUCUUCUUCCCCUUUUCAGAAGUAAGAUAUUGAUUUUUGAUCUCCUGUAACAAGACGGCCAGUUUGUUCUUUCUUUUCUACACCCAUGUCUAAAGAAUGUUUACUUUCUUUCUUCAUUACCUAAGUUUGCUAAUUACAAAUUGCUAGGUCCAAGAUUGUUGUCUGUGAAGACUGAACACUUCACCCUGUGAGGAUAGGACUCCCAUGGUGGUGCUCAUCAUUUUGGGAUCUGGAAGGAAAACGCUAAACCUACUUGUGGUUCUUAGCAGUGUUGCCAGCAGCCUGCCAUCUGCCAGGGCUGAAGUAGCCCACUCGAGAAUGCUCUUCACAAUUCAUUCAUUUUUAAGGGGUUAUAAAAAAAAAUCAUGUAAAGGAAAAGGAAA